Molecule: transfer RNA, 72 nt
Filed under: Justitia longimana
Lineage: Eukaryota; Metazoa; Arthropoda; Malacostraca; Decapoda; Palinuridae
Description: tRNA-Val
Rfam family: tRNA
About the family: Transfer RNA (tRNA) molecules are approximately 80 nucleotides in length. Their secondary structure includes four short double-helical elements and three loops (D, anti-codon, and T loops). Further hydrogen bonds mediate the characteristic L-shaped molecular structure. tRNAs have two regions of fundamental functional importance: the anti-codon, which is responsible for specific mRNA codon recognition, and the 3' end, to which the tRNAs corresponding amino acid is attached (by aminoacyl-tRNA synthetases). tRNAs cope with the degeneracy of the genetic code in two manners: having more than one tRNA (with a specific anti-codon) for a particular amino acid; and 'wobble' base-pairing, i.e. permitting non-standard base-pairing at the 3rd anti-codon position.
Source: RNAcentral
UAAAGUAAAGCUUUUUAGUUAAGCGUUUCACUUACGUUGAAAAGACUUAUCGUGCAAAUCGAUUUACUUUAA